UACAGAGGUCUCAAGCGUUGUUCGGAUUCAUUGGGCGUAAAGGGUGCGUAGGCGGCGCGGUAAGUCGGGUGUGAAAUCUCGGAGCUUAACUCCGAAACUGCAUUCGAUACUGCCGUGCUUGAGGACUGGAGAGGCGAGUGGAAUUCCCGGUGUAGCGGUGAAAUGCGCAGAUAUCGGGAAGAACACCUGUGGCGAAGGCGGCUCUCUGGGACGGUACUGACGCUGAGACGCGAAAGCGUGGGGAGCAAACAGG
Molecule: ribosomal RNA, 253 nt
Filed under: uncultured bacterium
Lineage: Bacteria
Description: partial 16S ribosomal RNA
Rfam family: Bacterial small subunit ribosomal RNA
Source: RNAcentral